AUUCCAGCAAUUGUUUUUAAAACGUCAACUAAUUUUAAACCAAUCGCAGUGUCAAAAGAAAUGCUAAUUCAUCAUUUUGAAAUUCUACUGUAAGAUUGUAUAAGAGUAUGUGUGAUCACCACAGUCAUUCGAUCAAAAGCGUUUAAGCAACAUGGCAUCACAAAGUAUUAACAACGAAGAAUUUUUACAAAUUCUAAAAAAUAUGAGAAGUGAACCGCUGUCUCCACUACUUGGCGAAGAAGAAUUCGUAGAUAUAAUAAACGAGAUGAAAAUUGAACCACUUUCGCAAACAAUGUCUCAAGAAUUAUUACCAGAUUUUUGGAAUAUGGAUGAUUAUUAUUUAAAUAUAGUUAAUGAAAUAGAAAAUCCUACAUCAUAUUCGAUGAUCGAUGCGGGGCAACAUCAAACUUGGUGAAAUGAUACGAAUCAGUUAAAUAAUGAAUCAGUUAAUGGAAAUUGUCUUCAUCUCGGAGCACAUCCAUGGUUGAAUUUUGAUACGGAAGAAGAUUUAUUGGAGCUAAUAACACAGGGAACGUGGGUUGAUGAUGUAAAGACAUCAGAUUACCAAGAAAUGAUAAAAGACGUUAGGAGUUGGAAUAUUGAAUUUCACGACGAAGAAUGUGCUCGAGAGACAGAUGAAUUAUCACUAGCUGUAUUCAAAGAAUAUGAACAAAAACAUUGGAAAAAAAAAAAGUUAAAUAACUAUUUCAA
Long non-coding RNA from Daktulosphaira vitifoliae (grape phylloxera), 711 nucleotides. RefSeq lists it as uncharacterized. The transcript is spliced from 4 exons. Lineage: Eukaryota; Metazoa; Arthropoda; Insecta; Hemiptera; Phylloxeridae. The record is from RefSeq and is a predicted model, not a curated record.